AAAGCAAACCCACAAAGAGUUAUUUAUAAGGCUCCACUAAAACGUACCCCAAUCCUAAUAUAUUUAGGAUUUCUACUCCAAUUAAUAUCUAAAUCUAUCUUAAUUAAUCUCUAAUAGAUUUAAAUAUUAAUCCUAAUCUAGUUAGAUUUUAUCCUCUAAUUAAUAUUUAAAUCUUAAUUUAUCUCCAAUAGAUUUAAAUAUUAAUUCUUAUCUAACU
This 217-nucleotide long non-coding RNA is filed under the name Ananas comosus (pineapple). RNAcentral describes it as "long non-coding RNA (ACOM_LNC038510)". The record is from RNAcentral. Lineage: Eukaryota; Viridiplantae; Streptophyta; Magnoliopsida; Poales; Bromeliaceae.